AUUAGAUACCCGUGUAGUCCUAGCCGUAAACGAUACUCGCUAGGUGUCGGCCACGGUGCGACCGUUGUCGGUGCCGUAGGGAAGCCGUGAAGCGAGCCACCUGGGAAGUACGGCCGCAAGGCUGAAACUUAAAGGAAUUGGCGGGGGAGCACCACAACGGGUGGAGCUUGCGGUUUAAUUGGAUUCAACGCCGGAAAUCUUACCGGGACCGACAGCAACAUGAAGGCCAGGCUGAAGACUUUGCCGGAUUAGCUG
Molecule: ribosomal RNA, 255 nt
Filed under: uncultured archaeon
Lineage: Archaea
Description: partial 16S ribosomal RNA
Rfam family: Archaeal small subunit ribosomal RNA
Source: RNAcentral